This 253-nucleotide ribosomal RNA is filed under the name uncultured bacterium. RNAcentral describes it as "partial 16S ribosomal RNA". It matches the Rfam family "Bacterial small subunit ribosomal RNA", at positions 524 to 776 of the family's 1533-position model. The record is from RNAcentral.
UACAGAGGUCCCAAGCGUUGUUCGGAUUCAUUGGGCGUAAAGGGUGCGUAGGCGGCUGUGUAAGUUGGGCGUGAAAUCCUGGGGCUUAACCUCAGAAUUGCGUUCAAUACUGCAUUGCUAGGGCGCUGUAGAGGAGAUUGGAAUUUACGGUGUAGCAGUGAAAUGCGUAGAUAUCGUAAGGAAGACCAGUGGCGAAAGCGAAUCUCUGGGCAGCAGCCGACGCUGAGGCACGAAGGCCAGGGGAGCAAACGGG